Molecule: non-coding RNA, 136 nt
Organism: Podarcis lilfordi (Lilford's wall lizard)
Lineage: Eukaryota; Metazoa; Chordata; Lepidosauria; Squamata; Lacertidae
Source: the annotation of a GenBank genome assembly
CAGGCAUAGGCAAACUCAACCCUCCAGAUGUUUUUGGCCUACAACUCCCAUGAUCCCUAGCUAACAGGACCAGUGAUCAGGGAUGAUGCGAAUUGUAGUCCCAAAACAUCUGGAGGGCUGAGUUUGCCUAUGCCUG